Non-coding RNA from Centruroides sculpturatus (bark scorpion), 73 nucleotides. The record is from the annotation of a RefSeq genome assembly. Lineage: Eukaryota; Metazoa; Arthropoda; Arachnida; Scorpiones; Buthidae.
GUGCUUAUGGUGUAGUGGUUAUCACAUCCGCUUCACAAGCGGAAGGUCCCAAGCUCGAAACCUGGCAAGUACA